Phoenix dactylifera (date palm) is the source of this 462-nucleotide non-coding RNA. The record is from RefSeq and is a predicted model, not a curated record. Lineage: Eukaryota; Viridiplantae; Streptophyta; Magnoliopsida; Arecales; Arecaceae.
CACCGAUGGCUAGGUCAUAUAGGAAGAAUGCCUUGCCACCUAAAUUGUCCCUUAUUUUCUAAAGAGGAACUUUAUCCAACAACAUGGACCUUAGCUUCUCUCUGCCCAUCUUUCCCUUCCUCCUCUCUUGCUCCAUUUCGGCAUCUUAGGAUGGCUUCGACGGCAACACCGACGACACCAUUGCCACACUACAAGGAGCCCAUGCCUGCAGGGCCUCAACGUGCAUGGCUCGGACCGAUCGGAUCAUUCAUUGCAGUAAUCGAAGGCAACUUGUUUCACCAUCAAAACAGGCUCCACUUGUGAACCUUAUUAUAGGAUGCCCAUCCCUGCAAUACAUUAAUAACUUGUCAUGGCAUAUCUUUAGCUGGAACAUAACCAGCAACUUUUCAGUUUAAUUGUGAAGUAACAAAUGGCAGAAUUGCAGGUUUAAAUGUAUUAUGGAGGUAUAUGAACAUCUAGUCC